UCCAUGGCUCUUUGCCCCAGCCGAGUUGCUAAUCAGCCAGCCACCCACUGGGGUUAUCGUUUUCUUUCGCUCUCCAACUUCUUCAUGCCAGUUUUUAUCACAAUCCCAAUCCCAUUCCCAUUCCCAUUCCCAUUCCCACCACCUUUUCCAUGCUCAUAUAUUAUAUAUAUUCACCGCUCUUCAAUUCGUCCUUCAUGCAUAUUCUCUCUCUCUCUCUCUCUCUCUCAGCUCUCAGACAAGUUUUCCUGACAAGACAUAUUGCGUUAAUUACAGUAUAUUAGAAAAUAUAUAGUACGAGAAACCGGCGAUCAGCUUAUGGGUAGCAGUAUGCUUUUCCCGCCGGUUCAAUUGCAGGGUUUGAUGAACUAUGACGAUCAGAAUCUCAUCCAGAUUCUGGAGAAUUAUGGCUGGAUUGAACGGCCCUCAGACAUUGGAAUCAAUUACGCACUUUCCAGCUGCUCACCAGCCGCCACCUCUGCAGCUGGGAAAAAGAAAGAUGACGCUUUUCCGCCGGAAAAUCUGGGAAGAGAGAGCUUCAAGAGGAGAAAAACCGACAAGGCAGUUGCAGUUGCAGAAGAGGAAAGAAAGGACAGGUGGAAGCAGAAAGGAUGCCAAGAAGAUGUCAGAAGUUCAGAGCAGACUGACAACAAUAGUAAGAAAGAACAUAGCACUGACACUUCCAAGGUAACACAAGACAAAAAGUCAGACUACAUUCAUGUCCGGGCACGACGGGGCCAAGCCACUGACAGUCAUAGUUUAGCAGAAAGAGUGAGGAGGGAAAAAAUCAGUGAGAGAAUGAGAUACCUGCAGGAUCUAGUACCAGGGUGCAAUAAGAUCACUGGGAAAGCGGGAAUGCUAGAUGAGAUAAUCAACUAUGUCCAGUCACUGCAAAAACAAGUAGAGUUCUUGUCAAUGAAACUGGCUGCUGUUAAUCCAAGACUCGAUUUCAAUAUUGACAGUUUAUUCACCAAAGAGAUGUUUCAAUCUAGUCCAUCUAAUUUUCCCCCGGUUGGAAUAAUAUCAGAUGUGUCUACUCCUUCCAAUCUGCUGCAAUUAGUUGCAUCUUUGGGAUUGGAAAUAGGCAUAAGUCCUUCAGAUAUGCCUCUUAGAACAACCAUUAAUUCUCCUGUCUCACUACCCAAAACACUCCUCAAUUCGUCCGCUAUAAAUCAGCAGGGACAGACCUGUCCAAUUUGGGAUGGAGAGUUACAAAACCUGUAUGCCAUGGAGGUUCAACAAGGAAGAUCACCAUCCUUCACUUCACAGCCAUUUAUGGGUAAGCAGAUCUAGCAAGUGCUCAAGUUUUUUACUUUUUUUCCUGUUACUGAUAAAACCAUAGAAAAAGGAGAUAAUCAGUGUAGAGAUAUCACUACAUGAUUGAGACCUGAGAAGCCCACAAAAAGUAUAAGAGAUUGCAAAAAGGAAUAGUUGGGCCCUCUGAUGUAUGCCAUGAAAGUGGCCUGUUAGGUUUGUAGAAGGCAGUAAUCCAAGGAUGGAGAUCUGAGCCGGAAUUCAGAUUCUUGAAUCAGUUCUUUCAGAAGUUACCAAAUACUAGCUGAUUCUUUCUUCCAAGUACAUAAACAUAUAUGUCUGUAUGUAUACAUAAGGUGUACAAAUGUCAUACUGGCAGUAUGCUAUCAUUAUUCAACUCUCAUAUUUUAUAAAAAGAGAAGCUUUUGUAUAUACAUAUAUAUAUAUAUAUAUAUAUCGAACAAGAAACCUGCAGUAGAAGUUUCAAUUUAAGAAAGAUAGUUUUGGCAA
Molecule: RNA transcript, 1761 nt
Organism: Ipomoea nil (Japanese morning glory)
Lineage: Eukaryota; Viridiplantae; Streptophyta; Magnoliopsida; Solanales; Convolvulaceae
Gene name: transcription factor bHLH63-like
Exons: 7
Source: RefSeq, a predicted model, not a curated record